GCUCAAAAUGGGAGGUAUAUUUCUUCUAAAGCUAANNNUGGCCAGAGGCCGAUAGCGCACAAGUAGAGUGAUCGAAAGAUGAAAAGCCCUUUGGAAAGAGAGUUAAACAGUACGUGAAAUUGUUGAAAGGGAAGCGCUUGCAACCAGACUUGCACGCAGUUGAUCAUUCGGUGUUCUCACCGGGGCACUCUGCUGCGUUCAGGCCAGCAUCGGUUUCGGUGGUUGGAUAAAGGCCUUGGGAACGUGGCNCCCUUCGGGGAGUGUUAUAGCCCUCGGUGCAAUGCAGCCUACCGGGACCGAGGACCGCGCUUCGGCUAGGAUGCUGGCGUAAUGGUUGUAAGCGACC
RNAcentral lists this ribosomal RNA (346 nucleotides) under uncultured fungus. RNAcentral's name for it is "eukaryotic LSU rRNA". It matches the Rfam family "Eukaryotic large subunit ribosomal RNA", at positions 285 to 649 of the family's 3401-position model. Lineage: Eukaryota; Fungi. The record is from RNAcentral.